UAGGCCUCCAAUGAUCAUCAUACAAUUGGACUCAUUAUCACCCAACUUAAAUAAUUUAGUUAUCACCAUAACUAUUUCAUUUAAGGGAUCUAAUAAUUUAGACAAUUUAAUUUAUGAAUUAAGAGAAGAUAAAAGAAGAGAUUAACCAGUAAAUCAUAAUCCUUCUACUGACUUCACCAAGUCAUUAAAUCAGAUUAAGGUCAUGC
Molecule: long non-coding RNA, 206 nt
Filed under: Elaeis guineensis (African oil palm)
Lineage: Eukaryota; Viridiplantae; Streptophyta; Magnoliopsida; Arecales; Arecaceae
Description: long non-coding RNA (EGUI_LNC053097)
Source: RNAcentral